RNAcentral lists this long non-coding RNA (408 nucleotides) under Homo sapiens (human). Its description in RNAcentral is "HSALNT0397825". The record is from RNAcentral. Lineage: Eukaryota; Metazoa; Chordata; Mammalia; Primates; Hominidae.
UCACAGACCCCCAAACUGGAACUGCCGGGACGACGACUGCCAACCGGCCACACGACCCAGGCAGAGACGCGGGGACACGCUGACCAGAAGAAAGGCCGACGUGCAAGAAACCCACCCUCCGGCGCACAGGGCACAUGUGUCCCAAGGCGCACGCACACACAGACGGACAGAGACAGACAGAGAGGGCGACGGAAACAGCGAGAAGGGAGAGAGAGAGAGAGAGAGAGAGAGAGAGAGAGAGAGAGAGAGAGAGAGAGACGUGAGAGAGAGACAGAAGUCGGCACACAGACACGCACUGCGCGCGCACACACACAGACACACACACAGACGCAUCCCCCCAACACACACACACACACCCAUAACGAACACACACGUACAGCAGGGAACACCCACCCGCAGGCAGCCCCU